This 253-nucleotide ribosomal RNA is filed under the name uncultured bacterium. RNAcentral's name for it is "partial 16S ribosomal RNA". It matches the Rfam family "Bacterial small subunit ribosomal RNA", at positions 524 to 776 of the family's 1533-position model. The record is from RNAcentral.
UACAGAGGGGGCAAGCGUUGUUCGGAAUUACUGGGCGUAAAGGGCGCGUAGGCGGCCUGUUAAGUCGAACGUGAAAUCCCCGGGCUCAACCCGGGAACUGCGUCCGAUACUGGAAGGCUUGAAUCCGGGAGAGGGAUGCGGAAUUCCAGGUGUAGCGGUGAAAUGCGUAGAUAUCGGGAGGAACACCAGUGGCGAAGGCGACUACCUGGCCUGUUCUUGACGCUGAGGCGCGAAAGCUAGGGGAGCAAACGGG